Molecule: ribosomal RNA, 440 nt
Filed under: uncultured bacterium
Lineage: Bacteria
Description: partial 16S ribosomal RNA
Rfam family: Bacterial small subunit ribosomal RNA
Source: RNAcentral
CCUACGGGAGGCAGCAGUGGGGAAUAUUGCACAAUGGGGGAAACCCUGAUGCAGCGACGCCGCGUGAGUGAAGAAGUAAUUCGUUAUGUAAAGCUCUAUCAGCAGGGAAGAAAAUGACGGUACCUGAGUAAGAAGCCCCGGCUAACCACGUGCCAGCAGCCGCGGUCAUACGUAGGGGGCAAGCGUUAUCCGGAUUUACGGGGUGUAAAGGGAGCGUAGACGGCAGUGCAAGUCUGGAGUGAAAGGCGGGGGCUCAACCCCCGGACUGCUCUGGAAACUGGACGGCUGGAGUGCAGGAGAGGUAAGUGGAAUUCCUGGUGUAGCGGUGAAAUGCGUAGAGAUUAGGAGGAACACCAGUGGCGAAGGCGGCUUACUGGACUGUAACUGACGUUGAGGCUCGAAAGCGUGGGGAGCAAACAGGAUUAGAUACCCCAGUAGUC